RNAcentral lists this ribosomal RNA (498 nucleotides) under uncultured bacterium. RNAcentral's name for it is "partial 16S ribosomal RNA". The record is from RNAcentral.
GUAGUUAGCCGGGGCUUCCUCCUUGACUACCGUCACUUUCUUCGUUGCCAAGGACAGAGGUUUACAACCCGAAAGCCUUCUUCCCUCACGCGGCGUUGCUGGGUCAGGCUUGCGCCCAUUGCCCAAUAUUCCCCACUGCUGCCUCCCGCAGGAGUCUGGACCGUAUCUCAGUUCCAGUGUGGCCGAUCAGCCUCUCAGCUCGGCUACCCAUCGUCGACUUGGUGGGCUGUUACUCCGCCAACUAUCUAAUGGGACGCGAACCCCUCUUAUACCGGAUUGCUCCUUUGACCUCAUCCCGAUGCCGGGUCGUGGUCUUAUGCGGUAUUAGCAACCGUUUCCGGUUGUUAUCCCCCUGUACAAGGCAGGUUGUUCACGCGUUACUCACCCGUUCGCCACUAAAAUUUAUCUUCCAUCCGAAAACUUCUGAUAAAUCUCCGUUCGACUUGCAUGUGUUAGGCACGCCGCCAGCGUUCGUCCUGAGCCAUGAUCAAACUCUGA